AAAUUCAAAAAGAAGCAAGUGAACAAGUAAAUGAUGUUAAGAAGCAAAUGGAUGAGAAACUUGUAGAGAUGAAUAGAAUAUGAGAGUAGAAAUUCAAGAUGCUUUUGGAGAAAAACAAUAAUAUUGCAUCACCUAUGGAGGAUUCCCAAGAUGAUGAAAUUGGAGGAUGAUUUGCAGUAUAUUUGAAGUUUUGGAUUUUGAAGCAGCCAGCAGCCUUAUAAUACUACUUUUA
Long non-coding RNA from Manihot esculenta (cassava), 232 nucleotides. RefSeq lists it as uncharacterized. The transcript is spliced from 2 exons. The record is from RefSeq and is a predicted model, not a curated record. NCBI's taxonomy places the organism in Eukaryota, Viridiplantae, Streptophyta, Magnoliopsida, Malpighiales, Euphorbiaceae.